This 391-nucleotide RNase P RNA is filed under the name Fomitiporia mediterranea MF3/22. RNAcentral's name for it is "Nuclear RNase P". It matches the Rfam family "Nuclear RNase P". Rfam says of the family: Ribonuclease P (RNase P) is a ubiquitous endoribonuclease, found in archaea, bacteria and eukarya as well as chloroplasts and mitochondria. Lineage: Eukaryota; Fungi; Basidiomycota; Agaricomycetes; Hymenochaetales; Hymenochaetaceae. The record is from Rfam by way of RNAcentral.
GCAGAUUCAAGGUUGCGAUGCUCGCCACAAACAGGAUGUCCACUUAUUUUAUGGCGUGGCUCAUCUCAUCUUGCGAGCGGGCCAAGGUCUGAGUAUUUUAAUCCCCCUCGACCGACUCUUGCCGGGUCUGGACACCAUCGUUCGAACCGCGUACAAGAAAUGCAAGCAGCGUCUCCCGACUUCGUGUUACCCCUAAGACUCCGUUCAUACGGAUGAGGGGCGUGGCAAGCUGCUUUUGGGAAGCGUUGUGGGGAUCGGGUGGCCGUGUACAUCUCGUCGAUACUGUAUAGUCAUCGACGAGAUCGGUCGCUCUUUAGCUCAAUUUGCGACGCGCCAAGCACGUACACAUCGGUGUUCUGGUGUUACUCAAUUCAGACUACUCUGGAUCUGC